GAAAUGCGAUAAGUAAUGUGAAUUGCAGAAUUCAGUGAAUCAUCGAAUCUUUGAACGCACAUUGCGCCCGCCAGAAUUCUGGCGGGCAUGCCUGUUCGAGCGUCAUUUCAACCCUCGAGCUCCCCUUGGGGAGCCCGGCGUUGGGGACCGGCAGUAACACCGCCGGCCCCGAAAUGGAGUGGCGGCCCCGUCCGCGGCGACCUCUGCGUAGUAAAUCCACUCGCACCGGGACCCGGGCGCGACCACGCCGUAAAACACCCAACUUCCGAAUGUUGACCUCGAAUCAGGUAGGAAUACCCGCUGAACUUAA
Molecule: unclassified non-coding RNA, 310 nt
Filed under: uncultured Lecanicillium
Lineage: Eukaryota; Fungi; Ascomycota; Sordariomycetes; Hypocreales; Cordycipitaceae
Description: sequence contains ITS1
Rfam family: 5.8S ribosomal RNA (bases 1-105)
Source: RNAcentral